UCUCCCUCUGUUGAAUUACCCAUUUGCCCAAACUCCGCAAUCUCCAUCCCCCUACCAGCGCCCAACAACCCUCCACCAUUUUCCCUAUCCUCACUCAAGACUGCUGUCAAAUCGCUCCCAUUACUGCCAUUCGAACUAUAUGCCAUGGGAACAUCCCCGAAAACUUCCUUGUACAGCAAAAAAUUCGACCAAUGUGUAAGCCCUUCCAACCAGUC
Molecule: unclassified non-coding RNA, 215 nt
Filed under: Hevea brasiliensis (rubber tree)
Lineage: Eukaryota; Viridiplantae; Streptophyta; Magnoliopsida; Malpighiales; Euphorbiaceae
Source: RNAcentral